GAAUAACAGCAGAGUCGUUAAACGUCAUUGCUGUAUCUUUUAUCAUAUUCAUUGCACCAGAGAAUAGUUGGUCAAUUAUAUAUCUAGCAAUAAGCGGGGCUAGAUGAAACGUUGAAAUUUGAAGCGGGUUUACUAGUAAAGUUAAACGCAUAACAUUAACCUGUUAAACUUUUUACUGGUGAUGUCCCGUACGGGCAGCCGUACAAAGGUUGACAGUAGACCCUGUUCGUUGUGACAGACAGGACGCCUUUUAUACACGUGGGGUAUUUAUAUCAUUGUACGACUCGGAAAGAGACUGAAAAACAGAAUGUGUAUUAAAGUGACGUGCUCGAAAUGUAAGAAGUUUACCUGGGCAGGAUGUGGGAAUCAUAUUGAAGUGGUACUUGAUGGGGUACCGGAGGAAGAAAGAUGUCGGUGUCCACGGGAUAAAGAGAAAAAGUGUGUGAUAAUAUGAGCUGCAUGGUGUUUAGGUAAGAGUCUGUUUACCUGGUCCAGGUAACAAGCUCAAGUGGAGGAUGACAGAAUACUCACAGGGCAAUCGCCACUACUACACAAGGACAGAAUCUCAAAACCACUCAUGUGCCAUGGGAUAUUUUGUAUUGUUUUUAUUUUCGUUCAGAUAAUUAAUUUGUUACAUAUACACUUUACAUUAUGUAUGUUCACGUUUAUGUGUAUGUCAUUGUCAUGCAAAAUUACAUUGAUAUCUGAGCUGAUU
Mizuhopecten yessoensis (Yesso scallop) is the source of this 715-nucleotide long non-coding RNA. RefSeq lists it as uncharacterized. NCBI's taxonomy places the organism in Eukaryota, Metazoa, Mollusca, Bivalvia, Pectinida, Pectinidae. The transcript has 3 exons. The record is from RefSeq and is a predicted model, not a curated record.